Molecule: ribosomal RNA, 97 nt
Filed under: Phyllobacterium brassicacearum
Lineage: Bacteria; Pseudomonadati; Pseudomonadota; Alphaproteobacteria; Hyphomicrobiales; Phyllobacteriaceae
Source: RNAcentral
GUGGCCGCACCCGAUCCCAUUCCGAACUCGGCCGUGAAACGCCCCUGCGCCAAUGGUACUUCGUCUCAAGACGCGGGAGAGUAGGUCGCUGCCAGGU